This 468-nucleotide ribosomal RNA is filed under the name uncultured bacterium. Its description in RNAcentral is "partial 16S ribosomal RNA". It matches the Rfam family "Bacterial small subunit ribosomal RNA", at positions 28 to 507 of the family's 1533-position model. The record is from RNAcentral.
GACGAACGCUGGCGGCGUGCUUAACACAUGCAAGUCGAACGGAAAGGCCCUGCUUUUGUGGGGUGCUCGAGUGGCGAACGGGUGAGUAACACGUGAGUAACCUGCCCUUGACUUUGGGAUAACUUCAGGAAACUGGGGCUAAUACCGGAUAGGAGCUCCUGCUGCAUGGUGGGGGUUGGAAAGUUUCGGCGGUUGGGGAUGGACUCGCGGCUUAUCAGCUUGUUGGUGGGGUAGUGGCUUACCAAGGCUUUGACGGGUAGCCGGCCUGAGAGGGUGACCGGACACAUUGGGACUGAGAUACGGCACAGACUCCUACGGGAGGCAGCAGUGGGGAAUAUUGCACAAUGGGAGGAAGCCUGAUGCAGCAAAGCAGCGUGCGGGAUGACGGCAUUCGGGUUGUAAACCGCUUUCGCCUGUGACGAAGCGUGAGUGACGGUAAUGGGUAAAGAAGCACCGGCUAACUACGUG